GUGGGUGUAGCUCAGUGGUAGAGCGCAUGCUUAGCAUGCAAGAGGUCCUGGAUUCAAUCCCCAGUAGCUCCA
This 72-nucleotide transfer RNA is filed under the name Camelus bactrianus (Bactrian camel). It matches the Rfam family "tRNA". Rfam says of the family: Transfer RNA (tRNA) molecules are approximately 80 nucleotides in length. Their secondary structure includes four short double-helical elements and three loops (D, anti-codon, and T loops). Lineage: Eukaryota; Metazoa; Chordata; Mammalia; Artiodactyla; Camelidae. The record is from Rfam by way of RNAcentral. RNAcentral also lists the same sequence under 2 other names.